RNAcentral lists this ribosomal RNA (718 nucleotides) under uncultured bacterium. RNAcentral describes it as "bacterial SSU rRNA". It matches the Rfam family "Bacterial small subunit ribosomal RNA", at positions 771 to 1501 of the family's 1533-position model. The record is from RNAcentral.
AACAGGAUUAGAUACCCUGGUAGUCCACGCUGUAAACGAUGAUUACUGGUUGUUAGCGAUAUAUAGCUAGUGACUGAGCGAAAGCAUUAAGUAAUCCACCUGGGGAGUACGUCGGCAACGAUGAAACUCAAAGGAAUUGACGGGGGCCCGCACAAGCGGAGGAACAUGUGGUUUAAUUCGAUGAUACGCGAGGAACCUUACCUGGGUUUAAAUGGGGAGUGGCAGGUGUCGAAAGAUGCUUUUCCUUCGGGACACUCUUCAAGGUGCUGCAUGGUUGUCGUCAGCUCGUGCCGUGAGGUGUCGGGUUAAGUCCCAUAACGAGCGCAACCCUUGCCGAUAGUUGCCAUCACGUAAAGGUGGGCACUCUAUCGGGACUGCCGGUGUAAACCGUGAGGAAGGUGGGGAUGACGUCAAAUCAGCACGGCCCUUACAUCCAGGGCUACACACGUGUUACAAUGGCCAGUACAGAGGGCCGCUACCCCGCGAGGGGAUGCCAAUCUCGAAAGCUGGUCUCAGUUCGGAUUGAAGUCUGGAACCCGACUUCAUGAAGCCGGAUUCGCUAGUAAUCGCGCAUCAGCCACGGCGCGGUGAAUACGUUCCCGGGCCUUGUACACACCGCCCGUCAAGCCAUGGGAGCCGGGGGUACCUGAAGUAUGUAACCGCAAGGAGCGUACUAGGGUAAAACUGGUGACUGGGGCUAAGUCGUAACAAGGUAACC